RNAcentral lists this long non-coding RNA (3081 nucleotides) under Mus pahari (shrew mouse). RNAcentral's name for it is "lncRNA (MGP_PahariEiJ_G0004694.1)". Lineage: Eukaryota; Metazoa; Chordata; Mammalia; Rodentia; Muridae. The record is from RNAcentral.
GCACUUCAUCCUCCAGCCGAGUGAGCGCACCAGGAAGGGUACCCCACUAAGAGAGUGACCACCUUUCCUUUCUGCCACACUGUAUGUUUGAGAGGGAACAGAAGACGCCAGAACCAGCAAUGGUCAGGAUCCAGAGGGACUCCAGGGGACCGUCAGUCUUCCCGUCUCCAGGCUCCUCUGUGCUGCUGCCUCUGCCCUCAGCCAUGAUGGGGACAUGCCAGCAUGCGAAGCACUCUGGUGGGGGAGGAGGGGGUCCACUGUACUGUCCCUGCUGGGCUUGGGAGGGAGGACUGGCCAGAUGAGAAGGCAGGCACUCUGGUCAGGUAGUAUCAGCUGCUAAAGCAUGGUGAAUCCUCCACAUGACUCCUCCUGACACUUCACGGAGCCCUAAUCUCCACUUUUGGGGGGGGGCUCUAGGAGACUAGGGACCUGCCCAGGAGCCACAGCCGUGUCUGUCCCGCCCAUUCGAGCUGACUGGUGACAGAAUGGACUCCUUAAACCUGGGCCCUCUCCUCACAUUGCACCCUGAGCUUGUCACAGUCAGGUCUCAACCUGUCCCCUCCAUGGUGGCAGGCUAUGCCCUGAGGGGCAGACAAGACCAGGUGGCUGUUGGCAGCUGAAAUAGGCUUCCUGCUGGUAGGAGUGAGACUUCCACCUAAAGUUCUAGCCACCGCGAUGGCCAGCCAUUAAGACUGUCCUGAAACCAGAGCGAUGCCCCGCACAUACAAGAACACUUCUGCCCUCAGGCCUGGCCCAGGCGCAGGUCCUGGUCCUGCAGCAUGAGCAACAAGGGUGUGGAGGGGAAAAGGGCUUUUCCCGAAGCCCCAGAGGGGUCCAAGCACCUGCUUCUCUGCCUCUCCGACUCUAGAACUUUCUGGUUACCUAUUACAGAAGCUUCAAGCCAGGAAUGAAAACAGGAGAGUUCUGGUUGGGAGAUCCUCCCCUCGGAGGGAAGAAAAGCUGCCAGGUGGGGGUGGGGUGGGGUGGGGGUGGAGAGAGGUCCCUUAACAGGCACAGGUCUCCCUCUCACCACCUCUGGAGACCUUAGACAAAUGGCUAUCCUCCGCCUCAGGCAAGCUCAGUGAAGAGGCUAAGGAUGGAGGUGAAGCUGGGGUGACAGUCUUCUGGGGAGGGGGUCACUUCUCGAAGGGCAGCCUCUGCUGAGCACAGGCUCCCAAUCCAUGAGCCUGCCUUGCCAGGAGAACAGCUUGCUUGAAAUGCACGGCUGUCAUCCUGUAAUUAAAUCUGAGACCCCCCCCCUUCCUACAUGACGCCGAGAUGAAGCCACUUAUAUAACGCAACUAAAAAUAAGCUUGUGGAGACAUACACACUGCUGCUCCCCACCACCAGCCCGUCUCCAGAGCUGCCCACCCUGAACCAUGACCUGCAGUGCCGGGGAUCAGAGGCGGUGCCUGCCCUGGGCCUGCGCUCAGCAUCAUUCCUGUGGAGAGAGUGAGGCUGGGCUCAGGGAAGUGGACACGACACAUGGGUUUAUAGCUGGGGUGGCUGCAGAUCGCCACUCAGGGAGCACUGAGUGGGAAGGCCAGCAGCAUAUGGACAAUGGCCUGUCUCUGCUUCCGGUGACUUGUCCCAGAGCUGCUCAUUCACUGAGACCUGCUCCCUUCCAACCGGGAACCAGAACCAGCGAGCCCAACUCCCACCUUGGCAGAGUGUAAGAAGAGCUGGGGUAUAUCGGAAGGUCUGGGAGGUGUGUUGGCUGUCAGUCAUCGCCCUGGGUGACAGUUAUCACCAUUCCUCCUGGGAAGAUGCAGGAGGAGGCAAUGACAAUGGUUCCACCUUGACAAUAGCUCCCUCCACUCCGACAGACGGACGGAAGCGGGUGCAAGCUCACACACGGGCCACAAUUUCCUAGCUACCAGCCUACUGAACUUUUAGGAAUGUAAGCGGAUUCCUCAGCCGCCAGUGUAAUGGGAAAAGGAAUACGAUGAAGUUUGUAACGGGCUUUGGAUGAAAAGGAGUCAGGGAAAGAGUGGCCCCCUAAUCCACUCGGAGCCAGAGUCCUCCUGAUCUGUGUUCAUGCCGAGAACCCACCCACUCAGCAACCUGACCUCUGACCAUUGGUGCCCCCUACUAUUAAAGGAGCUGCUUCCUGGGUCAGAAAGGCUUCCGUGCUGAAGUCUGGAUCCAGGCUGUGGUCAGCCCCAAUAAAGAGCUGGAGGGGACACAACUCCUGUCUCUCUCCUGUCCCCUUCCAACCAAGGAAGUCCUGUCAUGACAGCCACUGUCACAGAGCUGCAGGCAGGUCGGAGACACUGUCACUCAGGUGUCCUGACACCCUCUUCCCACUGUGGGGUUCUGCUGCAGCUGGCCAGCCUCCCGCCUGGGACAUGGACAAGCCUGAGUCCGCCACCCACGUGAGAGUGUUCCUUGCACAGAAAUGGGGUGAGUGUGGGUAGGCGGGCCCAGGAAAGAGCCUUGGGAUGCUGUGGAAGGGGGAGUGGCCCAAGCCAUGGGAGCUUUUCUUGGGGGAGCUUCUCUGCCCUUUUCCAGACAGACCCCAAGCAUUUGCUGCCAGCCUCCACCUCUAGUUCUCCUCCAUGGCCUUGGCCUGGGGCAAGCAUGGAGGGGCUGCUUCUACCUCAGUGCACAGCUCCCUGUUGGCUUUCAGAUCUGUGAGGGGGUCAAUGUGUGCUUGAGUAGGUACCAUACCAUGCUGGUCUAAAUGGACUAGAGAGGGAGAUGGAGGGGCAGUUGUGACCAACCAGUCGCAAUGAACAGUGUUUGGCAGGUCCUUAUUGACAGCCAGUUAGUUUAAACUGGCUUUCUGUCACAAGAAGAACCCAAGAAAAUAGACAGAUACCCAGAGAUGUACAUUGAAGCUACACAGACGACAAGGAAACAGAGGACAGUGGGGCAAAUUUCUGUCCUGUGCUUUCUAAACCUUCCCUUCUCCUUCUCCUUACACAUGUAGCGAAGUGAAUAGGGGCCGUCUGAGUCCCCUGCUGUCUGAGGCUUGACAGCCGCGCCGUGGAUUUGUGUCCUCUGGGUUGUUGGAGUGGUGUAACCAGCUGUCCAGGAAAUGGAAGCUGGAGUGUUAUGUUUAAUUAAAAGGAAACAUUC